GACGAACGCUGGCGGCGUGCUUAACACAUGCAAGUCGAACGGAAAGGCCUCUUUCGGGGGGUACUCGAGUGGCGAACGGGUGAGUAACACGUGAGUAACCUGCCCUUGACUUUGGGAUAACUUCAGGAAACUGGGGCUAAUACCGGAUAGGAGCUCCUGCUGCAUGGUGGGGGUUGGAAAGUUUCGGCGGUUGGGGAUGGACUCGCGGCUUAUCAGCUUGUUGGUGGGGUAGUGGCUUACCAAGGCUUUGACGGGUAGCCGGCCUGAGAGGGUGACCGGCCACAUUGGGACUGAGAUACGGCCCAGACUCCUACGGGAGGCAGCAGUGGGGAAUAUUGUACAAUGGGUGGAAGCCUGAUGCAGCAACGCCGGGUGCGGGAGGACGGCCUUCGGGUUGUAAACCGCUUUCGCUCAUGACGAAGCUUUGUGUGACGGUAGUGGGUAAAGAAGCACCGGCUAACUACGUG
This 467-nucleotide ribosomal RNA is filed under the name uncultured bacterium. RNAcentral's name for it is "partial 16S ribosomal RNA". It matches the Rfam family "Bacterial small subunit ribosomal RNA", at positions 28 to 507 of the family's 1533-position model. The record is from RNAcentral.